AACACAUCAAAGCUGCAAUCCCAUAACCAAAAGCCUGGCUUUGUGGCAAAUAGCAAAGCUCGCCAUCGAUUCGUAGCUCCUUCUUCUGCAAAAUUGUAAAAUACCCGCGAACCCCUAAGUUGAAAGCGCGUAAAAUUAGCAUGUGGGUGUGAAGCAUACAUGAUUGACAUGAACAUACCUUUGAUUUCUUGAGCUCACAUAUGACGCAAAAAGCAAAAGAAGCAAUGGCAAGGGAGAUGAAGAUGGUGGUGCCAAAAAGAUGAUAGAUUGCUUUGGUUUUGUGUUGUUUUUCCAUGUAAAAGUAUAUUUUUUUAGGUGUUUGUAUAUAUGGUUUUAGUUUAAAGUUGAAAAGAAAAGGAGGGCUGAAGAAGAGCUUGGGGGUUACUCAAAGGAAAAAGUGGUUUGUUAAAAUGAUUCCAUCAAUUCUUUAGUUGGGAGGUUGGGGGUAGGAGGCAGGGGGCUAUUGCUUGGAAGGAAGGCCAGCAGCCGACCGGCGGUAAGCCGGCGACGGCUACCUGCGACUACACUCCUCCGACAACACUCACACCUCCCCCGUACCCCCGUUUUCCGGCGACAAAGAUCGAAGAAAGAGGGCAACGAGUGACGGCGGCAGUGGAGGUGACGGCGGUGGGUUGAGGCUCCUCCGACAAGAUUCAUGUCUCCAUCCACUUGAAACCUGCUGGCGUUAGGGCAAACUUGUUGCAGGUGGGUUCAACUGGCUAUGGUAGAUGUCUAUAUCAAUUUACUUGCUACAAGGGUGGCAGUCUCCGUCCAACUGUGAACCAUUAGAAGAAUUUGUUUUUUUUUUUUUUUUUUUUUUUUUUUUUUCUGAAUUGUAUUUUGAGUUGAAGAUAUUGUUUUAGAUUGAUGUGAAAUUAUAAGUGUCAGUUGUGGAUUUGUGUUUGAAGAUGAAAGUGGGUUUGAAGAUCUGGGUU
Molecule: long non-coding RNA, 935 nt
Filed under: Helianthus annuus (common sunflower)
Lineage: Eukaryota; Viridiplantae; Streptophyta; Magnoliopsida; Asterales; Asteraceae
Description: hypothetical non coding rna
Source: RNAcentral